This 422-nucleotide ribosomal RNA is filed under the name uncultured bacterium. RNAcentral describes it as "bacterial SSU rRNA". It matches the Rfam family "Bacterial small subunit ribosomal RNA", at positions 29 to 414 of the family's 1533-position model. The record is from RNAcentral.
AUUGAACGCUGGCGGCAUGCUUUACACAUGCAAGUCGAACGGCAGCACAGCAGAGGUAACUCUGUGGGUGGCGAGUGGCGAACGGGUGAGUAAUACAUCGGAACGUACCCUGUUGUGGGGGAUAACUACGCGAAAGCGUAGCUAAUACCGCAUACGCCCUGAGGGGGAAAGCGGGGGACCCUAAAUAGAGCGCACUGGGGAGUGCGUUGUAUUUAGGGCCUCGCGCAAUAGGAGCGGCCGAUGUCGGAUUAGCUAGUUGGUGAGGUAAAGGCUUACCAAGGCAACGAUCUGUAGUUGGUCUGAGAGGACGACCAGCCACACUGGGACUGAGACACGGCCCAGACUCCUACGGGAGGCAGCAGUGGGGAAUUUUGGACAAUGGGCGCAAGCCUGAUCCAGCAAUGCCGCGUGCAGGAAGAAGG